RNAcentral lists this ribosomal RNA (449 nucleotides) under uncultured bacterium. RNAcentral describes it as "bacterial SSU rRNA". It matches the Rfam family "Bacterial small subunit ribosomal RNA", at positions 355 to 796 of the family's 1533-position model. The record is from RNAcentral.
UGGGGAAUAUUGGACAAUGGGGGGAACCCUGAUCCAGCAAUGCCGCGUGUGUGAAGAAGGCCUGAGGGUUGUAAAGCACUUUCGGUGGGGAGGAGGGCUUAUAGGUUAAGAGCUAAUGAGUUGGACGUUACCCACAGAAGAAGCACCGGCUAACUCCGUGCCAGCAGCCGCGGUAAUACGGAGGGUGCGAGCGUUAAUCGGAAUUACUGGGCGUAAAGGGUGCGUAGGUGGUUGAUUAAGUUAUCUGUGAAAUACCUGGGCUUAACCUGGGCAGGUCAGAUGAUACUGAACGACUCGAGUAUGGGAGAGGGUAGUGGAAUUUCCGGUGUAGCGGUGAAAUGCGUAGAGAUCGGAAGGAACACCAGUGGCGAAGGCGGCUACCUGGCCUAAUACUGACACUGAGGCACGAAAGCGUGGGGAGCAAACAGGAUUAGAUACCCCCGUAGUCC